This 1041-nucleotide ribosomal RNA is filed under the name Triticum aestivum (bread wheat). RNAcentral describes it as "partial small subunit ribosomal RNA". Lineage: Eukaryota; Viridiplantae; Streptophyta; Magnoliopsida; Poales; Poaceae. The record is from RNAcentral.
AUGAGCCACCGGAUGAUGAUGAAUCCGGUGAAGGUGGAGGGCGAUGGGCGGGCCGGCGGCGGAGGCGCGCCGAGGCCGAUGGACGGGCUGGGCGACGCCGGGCCCACGCCGUUCCUCGCCAAGACCUACGACAUGGUGGACGACCCCGCCACCGACGCCGUCGUCUCCUGGAGCGCCACCAACAACAGCUUCGUCGUCUGGGACCCGCACCUCUUCGCCACCGUGCUGCUGCCGAGGUACUUCAAGCACGGCAACUUCUCCAGCUUCGUCCGACAGCUCAACACCUAUGGCUUCAGAAAGGUGGAUCCUGACAGGUGGGAAUUUGCAAAUGAGGGAUUCUUGCGAGGGCAGAGGCACCUUCUCAGAAAUAUUAAGCGCCGGAAACCUACACAUGGGUCUCAGAAUCAGCAAUCUCUUGGCUCCUACCUUGAGGUGGGGAACUUUGGACAUGAUGUGGAGAUAGAUCAUUUGAAAAGAGACAGGCAGCUCUUGAUGGCUGAAGUGGUGAAGCUCAGGCAGGAGCAACAGAACACAAGGUCAGAUCUGCAAGCCAUGGAAAAGAGGCUGCAAGGAACUGAGCAGAAGCAACAGCAGAUGAUGUCAUUCUUGGCGCGAGUCAUGCAGAACCCCAUGUUCAUACACCAUCUGCUCUCCCAGAGUGAGAUGCGGAAGGAGCUCGAAGAUGCCAUCUCAAAUAAAAGACGGCGCCGCAUCGACCAGGGACCUGAAGCUGUCGAUAGCAUGGGCACUGGCUCUACCCUGGAGCAAGGGUCACAGGUAAUGUUUGAGCAGCAGGAGCCAGUGGACUCGCUCGUGAACGGUGUCAUAUCCGAUCUUGAAAGCUCGUCCGUCGAUACAAAGGGAGCUGAGGUGCAGCAGAGUGUCGCUUCCAGCCGUUCGGAGCAACUGAGAGGCAGGCCCAGUGGAGAGCUAAAUGAUGAUUUCUGGGAGGACCUGCUGCAUGAAGGGGGGCUCGGCGAGGAGGCCAGCAACCUGGUGGUUCCAGAUGACAUGAACUUGUUGGCUGAGAAGCUGGACUAG